Molecule: long non-coding RNA, 791 nt
Organism: Bos taurus (domestic cattle)
Lineage: Eukaryota; Metazoa; Chordata; Mammalia; Artiodactyla; Bovidae
Source: Ensembl
CCUGCUGGGUGACUUUGACUCUCCUGGGACCCCAUUUCCUGGUCUGUAUGAUGGAGUUGACACCACAGCCUCACCGCGCUGUAGGGAGAGCAGAAGAGGGACAGCAGAGCUCAGCGUGCAGGGACGAAUGCACGCGGCGAAGCAGGUACUGUCACUUUCAUUUUGCAGAGCUCAGAGUCGGCAAGAGUUGGCAAGAGCUGUGUCUGAACCCAGUUUGCCCGCUAGCAGCUGCGUACCUUGGGCUCAAGGCUCCACUGAGUCUGAGCUGCCCUGCUGCUUCUUUGAACUCAGGGGGGCAGCAUAGGGAUAAAAUCCCUUAAGGCCUGAGGAGUAGAUGCUCCGGCUCAAACUUCUCCCACCUGCUGACAAGGUUGAGUUCAUCUCAUCACGCGCAUGUUGACUAGGGCUCUUAAUAAGCAAUUCCUGGGGACAAGUUAAGUGCCAGGGCCUGAGCCAGUCUCUGCAAGGAGGCCUAACAAAUCAGGCCCAGGCCAUGCUCCCAGGAAGGGGGAGAGGGACACUUAGUCAGCUCUAUUCCUGGGCCCCAGAAAGGCCAACCAAGAAGGCAGUGUUGUCUUCAAGAUUGAAGGUCUGUGGCAACCCUGCAUAGAGCAAGUCUAUUGGCACCAUUUUUCCAACAGCAUUUUCUCACUUUGUAUCUCUGUGUCCCAUUUUGGAAGAUUCUUUACCAUCUGAGCCACGAGGAAGUCCAAAAGGAGCAAGAGAAAUACUUUAAUAUCAAGCAAACAUGCAGGAUGCUGAAUUGGGCAAAGCGCAAGAAGGCAACACAU